Bos indicus x Bos taurus (hybrid cattle) is the source of this 284-nucleotide long non-coding RNA. The record is from Ensembl. NCBI's taxonomy places the organism in Eukaryota, Metazoa, Chordata, Mammalia, Artiodactyla, Bovidae.
GCUGAAUUUUCCCUAAUUCCCGAGUGCCAAGGCAAGAAGAGGGAUCUGGCCACCCUUCGCUACUGGGAAUGGAAAGACAAACUGGAGGAAUUUGUGAGAGAGCAUCAGUCAGCAGAAGGUCCAAGAGUCUCAAAUCCAGGACAUGAAGCCUGGCAUGUGCAGCUGAUCCUACCAUCUCAUACAGAAGGGAGAGAAAGAAGUGAGAGAGGGCUUGCAUCUGAACAAAUGGAGGGAAAUGGAAGUGGUUUUAGCCUAGGUUGGCAUUUUGUGAACCCAGAGAGUUG